Molecule: ribosomal RNA, 540 nt
Filed under: Xenentodon cancila (freshwater garfish)
Lineage: Eukaryota; Metazoa; Chordata; Actinopteri; Beloniformes; Belonidae
Description: partial large subunit ribosomal RNA
Rfam family: Bacterial large subunit ribosomal RNA
Source: RNAcentral
AAUCACUUGUCUUUUAUUUGAAAACGGGUAUGAAUGGCAUAACGAGGGCUUAACUGUCUCCUUUUUCCAGUCAAUGAAAUUGAUCUCCCCGUGCAGAAGCGGGGAUAAUUACAUAAGACGAGAAGACCCUAUGGAGCUUUAGAUAAGAGAUGGACCAUGUUAAUAAAUCUAUUUAAUAAGAACAAACUUAUUGGUCACCAUUUUAAUAUCUUUGGUUGGGGCGACCGCGGGGUAAUAAUUAACCCCCAAGUGGAAAAAGAGAACCUCUCUCAUAACCUAGACUGACAAAUCCAAGUAUCAGAAAAUCUGACCAAAAAUGACCCGGCAAAGCCGAUCAACGAACCGAGUUACCCUAGGGAUAACAGCGCAAUCCUCUCCUAGAGCCCAUAUCGACAAGAGGGUUUACGACCUCGAUGUUGGAUCAGGACAUCCUAAUGGUGCAGCCGCUAUUAAGGGUUCGUUUGUUCAACGAUUAAAGUCCUACGUGAUCUGAUUCCAGGACCGGAGAUCGCCUGUUUAUCAAAAACAUAUACGUGAUCU